UUCUGCCCUAUCAACUUUCGAUGGUAAGGUAGUGGCUUACCAUGGUUGUAACGGGUAACGGAGAAUUGGGGUUUGAUUCCGGAGACGGAGCCUGAGAGAUGGCUACGACUUUUAAGGAAGGCAGCAGGCGCGCAAAUUUCCCAAUCCCGACACGGGGAGGUAGCGACAAUCAUAACAAAGGAGGGCCCAAAAGGGUCUCCAAUGGAAUGAAGCAA
RNAcentral lists this ribosomal RNA (215 nucleotides) under uncultured eukaryote. Its description in RNAcentral is "partial 18S ribosomal RNA". It matches the Rfam family "Eukaryotic small subunit ribosomal RNA", at positions 305 to 522 of the family's 1831-position model. The record is from RNAcentral.